UCGGGAAUUUUGGGCAAUGGGCGAAAGCCUGACCCAGCAACGCCGCGUGAAGGAUGAAGUAUUUCGGUAUGUAAACCUCGAAAGAAUAGGAAGAAUAAAUGACGGUACUAUUUAUAAGCUCCGGCUAACUACGUGCCAGCAGCCGCGGUAAUACGUAGGGAGCAAGCGUUGUUCGGAUUUACUGGGCGUAAAGGGCGCGUAGGCGGCGCGGUAAGUCACUUGUGAAAUCUCUGAGCUUAACUCAGAACGGCCAAGUGAUACUGCAGUGCUAGAGUGCAGAAAGGGCAAUCGGAAUUCUUGGUGUAGCGGUGAAAUGCGUAGAUAUCAAGAGGAACACCUGAGGCGAAGGCGGGUUGCUAGGCUGACACUGACGCUGAGGCGCGAAAGCCAGGGGAGCAAACG
Molecule: ribosomal RNA, 402 nt
Filed under: uncultured bacterium
Lineage: Bacteria
Description: bacterial SSU rRNA
Rfam family: Bacterial small subunit ribosomal RNA
Source: RNAcentral